Molecule: ribosomal RNA, 429 nt
Filed under: bacterium
Lineage: Bacteria
Description: partial 16S ribosomal RNA
Rfam family: Bacterial small subunit ribosomal RNA
Source: RNAcentral
UAGGGAAUCUUCCACAAUGGACGCAAGUCUGAUGGAGCAACGCCGCGUGAGUGAAGAAGGUUUUCGGAUCGUAAAGCUCUGUUGUUGGUGAAGAAGGAUAGAGGCAGUAACUGGUCUUUAUUUGACGGUAAUCAACCAGAAAGUCACGGCUAACUACGUGCCAGCGGCCGCGGUAAUACGUAGGUGGCAAGCGUUGUCCGGAUUUAUUGGGCGUAAAGCGAGCGCAGGCGGAAUGAUAAGUCUGAUGUGAAAGCCCACGGCUCAACCGUGGAACUGCAUCGGAUACUGUCAUUCUUGAGUGCAGAAGAGGAGAGUGGAAUUCCAUGUGUAGCGGUGGAAUGCGUAGAUAUCUGGAAGAACACCAGUGGCGAAGGCGGCUCUCUGGUCUGCAACUGACGCUGAGGCUCGAAAGCAUGGGUAGCGAACAGG